RNAcentral lists this ribosomal RNA (632 nucleotides) under Paenibacillus dendritiformis. RNAcentral's name for it is "bacterial SSU rRNA". It matches the Rfam family "Bacterial small subunit ribosomal RNA", at positions 124 to 743 of the family's 1533-position model. The record is from RNAcentral. Lineage: Bacteria; Bacillati; Bacillota; Bacilli; Caryophanales; Paenibacillaceae.
ACCUGCCCUUAAGACCGGGAUAACUCAGGGAAACGUGGGCUAAUACGGGAUCGGCGAUUUCCUCGCGUGAGGGAAUCGGGAAGGGCGGAGCAAUCUGCCAUUUAGGGAUGGACGUAUGGCGCAUGAGCUAGUUGGUGGGGUAACGGCUCACCAGGGCGACGGUGUGUAGCCGACCUGAGAGGGUGAUCGGCCACACGGGGAGUGAGACACGGCCCAGACUCCUACGGGAGGCAGCAGUAGGGAAUUUUCCGCAAUGGACGCAUGUCUGAGGGAGAAACGCCGCGUGAGUGAUGAAGGUUUUCGUAUCGUAAAGCUCUGUUGCCAGGGAAGAACGCUAUGGAGAGUAACUGUUCCAUAGGUGACGGUACCUGAGAAGAAAGCCCGGGCAAAUUACGUGCCAGCAGCCGCGGUAAUAGGUAGGGGGCAAGCGUUUUCCGGAAUUAUUGGGCGUAAAGCGCGCGCGGGCGGUCAUGUAAUUCUGGUGUUUAAACCCGGGGCUCAACUCCGGGUCGCAUCGGAAACUGUGUGACUUGAGUGCAGAAGAGGAAAGUGGAAUUCCACGUGUAGCGGUGAAAUGCGUAGAGAUGUGGAGGAACACCAGUGGCGAAGGCGACUUUCUGGGCUGUAACUGA